Molecule: transfer RNA, 64 nt
Filed under: Cryptocephalus vittatus
Lineage: Eukaryota; Metazoa; Arthropoda; Insecta; Coleoptera; Chrysomelidae
Description: tRNA-Gly
Source: RNAcentral
AUUUAUAUAAUAUAUAAAAUUAUAUUUGACUUCCAAUCAAAAAAACUAGCCUCUAGUAUAAAUA